GACGAACGCUGGCGGCGUGCUUAACACAUGCAAGUCGAACGGUGAACGAGGGAGCUUGCUCCCUCCGGAUCAGUGGCGAACGGGUGAGUAACACGUGAGCAAUCUGCCCCGAACUCUGGGAUAAGCGUUGGAAACGACGUCUAAUACCGGAUACGACGCGGGAGGGCAUCCUCUCCGCGUGGAAAGAACUUCGGUUCGGGAUGGGCUCGCGGCCUAUCAGCUUGUUUGGGAGGUAACGGCUCACCAAGGCGACGACGGGUAGCCGGCCUGAGAGGGUGACCGGCCACACGGGGACUGAGAAACGGCCCAGACUCCUACGGGAGGCAGCAGUGGGGAAUAUUGCACAAUGGGCGCAAGCCUGAUGCAGCAACGCCGCGUGAGGGACGACGGCCUUCGGGUUGUAAACCUCUUUUAGCAGGGAAGAAGCGAAAGUGACGGUACCUGCAGAAAAAGCACCGGCUAACUACGUG
This 470-nucleotide ribosomal RNA is filed under the name uncultured bacterium. RNAcentral's name for it is "partial 16S ribosomal RNA". It matches the Rfam family "Bacterial small subunit ribosomal RNA", at positions 28 to 507 of the family's 1533-position model. The record is from RNAcentral.